This 3012-nucleotide long non-coding RNA is filed under the name Panax ginseng (ginseng). RNAcentral's name for it is "long non-coding RNA (PGIN_LNC012796)". Lineage: Eukaryota; Viridiplantae; Streptophyta; Magnoliopsida; Apiales; Araliaceae. The record is from RNAcentral.
UGGGACUUGGCUAUUAAGGUCUCACUUAAUAGUCAAAGCAUUAACUACUAAGAUUUCAUUUUAUAACAAAAGUGGUACUUGUCUAUUAAGGUUUUUUUAUAAAGAAAACUUCAUUAGACUUUUAAAAGUGAUCCAAUGUGGGACUUGACUAUUAAAGUUUCACUUUGAAGUCUUUUUAUAAGGAAAACUUCCUUAGACUUUUACAAGUUAACCAAUGUGGGACUUGGCUAUAUGUUAUUCUCUUGCCUUACCAAUAUCCCACAUUGUCUAAUUUGUGUUAUCAUGUCUUACUUUUAUUCUAUAAAUAGGGGAGGCCACCAAUUCAAAUCAAGAAUUCUAGUAUGUAUUUUCUUGUGUUAGUUCUAUAGUUCUAUUUUAUAAAUAGAGUAGACUUUAAUCCAAUUUUUCAAAGCUAAGUGAAAUAUUUUUUUAAAAAUGAAUUGAACUCGUACAACUGGUUCGGUCCGGUAUAUACUGGACUUCUAAAAUUGAUAACCGAAAUUGGUACCGAAAAAUUGGUAUAUACCGGUUUUUUUGUACCGAACCGAACCGGGUCCUUUUUAUACCGAACCGAUCGGUUCAGAAAAUCGAAAAACCGGAAAAACCGAUCCAAAUGAACAACCCUAGUAUAGGCUGAGUUAGAAAAUUGUAAAGUGGCUAUGAAAAAAAUGUGAAAUCUGAGAAUUCUGGGCAGAAGCUCAGCGCUGCAGCGCUGAGAUUAGUGGCGAAGCCACAUAUAACUUUGUGGGGUCAAUCGAUCCCACUAGAAAAAAAAUUUGCUUUAUAAUGUAAGGUAAAUUUUUUAAAAUAUAAGUAUUAUAUAUAAAUUGACCACUAAAAUUUUAUAAAUUUUAUAUUAUACGGGGUCAAAUUGAAAAUUUAUAACUUUGUCAAUCAAAUUUUAACCACAUAUGACUCAUAUCCCCUCAAUAUAUGUAUUUCUCUCUAUAAUAUUUUAAAUUAAAUAAUAAUCUAAUUUAUAUUAUUUUUAAAAAUAAAUAAUGAAUUACUUACAUAAGAACAGUUGUGAUUAAAAAAAGUUUGAGUCAAUAUAGUGUAUAUAUACCAUAUAUUAUUACUCAUUAUAUUUUAAUUGUAAUAUAGUAUAUAUAUGUGUGUGCAUAUAUAUACUCGAAAGUAUAAAGUAUUAAAAAAAAUUGACUCGGGGGCGCUGCCCCCGAACCCUCGCCAAAUUAUUUUUAAGUCAGUAAUAAUUUCGACCCCACUGACAAAAGUUUCUGACUUCGUCACUGGCUGAGAUAGUGCGCCGCGGCUCUGGUCCCCUGCUGCAUUACUCCAAAUUUUUAUUCUUUUUCCGAUUUUGUAGUCCAGAACAGAAAAAAUUCCUGACUCCGCCCUUGCAUGCAACCCAUCUUAUAUCAACCCAAUUUCAGUAGACUUACGUACCUUCUGGCCCGGGUCGUCCUAUUGGGGCAACGCCUUUCGGUUAGCUUGAAACAACUUUAGCUAUAUAUUACAAGGAUAGAUAAGGAGAAGGUUAACUAGCUAGUGUCGAAGAAUGAUAUAUGCCCUUAGGGGUGCAAACGAAUCGAAUCUGAGCGAACACCUUUAUGCUCGGAUUCGGCUCGAUUCAAAAAAAUUGAGCUCGGAUUCGAUAAAGGAUUUAUAUUUUCGCGCCAGAUUCAACUCGGAUCAUUACUCGGACCUACUCGGCUCGUAAGUACUCGACUCGUUUAUAAAGCGAGUUACUCAUGAGCCUUCAAAUUGAGUUUCGAAUAUGAACCAUUUCACUUAAAAAUGAACCACUACAUACUAAAUUGGUUACUAAACUAAUAUUUAUAUAUAAAACUUUUUCACUUUUAUUUAUGUAUUGAAAUUAUAAAGAAUGUAAUAUAAAUUGACAUUUAAUUCAUUGAUUUAUUCAAGUACAAGUUUACACAAUUUCAUACUACACUUUAUAAAUUAUAAAGAUUGAUAUAAAUAUCACAUAUUUAGCUUACUAGCAUGGAUCAGACCAAUAUUCGAAUAUGAUCCAUCGAACAGGUAUCGAGUAUGGUUUGAGAAAAAAUGAAAUACUCGAACCUUAAUACGAGCGAACACUGGUCUGCUCGAGUUUGACUCGUGUAUCAUUAAACAGAAAACGAGUAUGGAUCAGAUUCGACUCAGAUCAACUUCGAAUUCGAGAUUUAAAUUAUAUUUUCGAGCCGAUCUCGAGUCGAGUACCGAACUACUUGACUCGGUUAUCACCCCUAUAUAUAUGCCCUCAUCUAUAUACAUAUGCAUGUAUAAGUGGAUAUUGUCAAAGUAAAAACUAUUAAAGUGUUAUUAAAUGUAUAAUUUUUAAAAAUAUUUCACAGCAAAAGUUUAUUACAAAGUGUGUACCAUGCAAUCCAUCUUAUAUUAACAUCAAAUAGAUGCAAUUUUAAAGUAUUUUGAACAGUCCGCCUCCGCCGACAUGUCCGAACUCCCUAAAUUAUAUUACAAACGGUCCAAAAUUUAAAAGUCACGAAGAUGGUGUAAAUUUUGCAAAAAAGUUUUACUUGCAAAAUAUACAAAUACCAAGGAUUAUUUUUGUUCUGUAGACAACUUUAGCGUGUGUAUAUAUAUACACACACAUAUGGAUGUUUGUUUCCAAUUUAAGUAGACUUACCUUCUGGCCUGGGUCGUCCUUUUGGAGCAACGCCUUUUCCUUAGCUUGUCGUAACAAUGACUCAAGCUCAACCUCAUCAUGCCUCACUGGUUGUGCCAUCUCCUCGAUCGACGAUAGCUAUCCUUUAAUUCUGCUAUAUAUAUUUUCUAUUUUUGUAGUUUAUAUCUAUAUAUCUUUCUUCCAAAGGCUAGCUCUAUUUAUAGAUUAGCUCUAUUUACAACACAGGGUACUGAUGUUAUUCGUGGAUAAUCUUGUUUUAGUAUAUUAUACUAUAAUAUCCUAUCUUCAAAUAUUCCUUCCUUUUUUCGCAGUGGGGAUCCUGGAUAAGUUUGAAUUCAUGAUCAUCGCAAAAGAUAGAUCACAUAUGCUUGUGCCAUCUCCUCCAUCUGUUUUUGUUCUUG